Long non-coding RNA from Gorilla gorilla gorilla (western lowland gorilla), 634 nucleotides. RefSeq lists it as uncharacterized. The transcript has 2 exons. The record is from RefSeq and is a predicted model, not a curated record. Lineage: Eukaryota; Metazoa; Chordata; Mammalia; Primates; Hominidae.
GCAAGACGGGCCGCUUCCCGCCCUCGAGCCCCGCCCAUUUCCACGAGCCUUGAGCCCAGAGUCCCCGUCCCGCCCUCAGGCCCCACCCACAGCCUCGGGCCUGCGAGCCACACGAUCCCCAACCCCGCCUUCAGUCCCCGCCUCCUCCUCCAGCCUCGGAGCCCCAGUGUACCCGGCCCCGCCCUGCCGGCUGGGAGCCUCCCAGCCGCGAUCCUCCGGGGCGGGACUUCCGGCCUCCCUGCUCCCACAAAAUGGUAGCCGCCGUGGGGGAUGUCCAGUUUUUUUUUCCUCUUCCCAAGUACAGACGCAGAGCGGGCUUGUCUUUCCGCUUAACCUCAACCUCGUGUGAUCUGCCAGUUUCGCUCCCGACCCCAAAUUCCAGCGAAACAGCUGAUGCCAGCCAGCUUGAAGACCCCUGCCACAGAAGAAGGGAAUCAGCAUGAGAAUACAGCUUCUUCAUCUCCCUGUCCCAUGACUUCGCCCUGUACUCUUCAGCCAAUUAAUGAUCUCCACACUUGGGACCACUCCAAAACCCUUAAGAACCUGAGCCUCAAAGUCCUCCUGGAGACGAAUUUGAGGUUUCCUCCUAUCUGUGUUUGGUGGCCCUAUGAUUAAACCUCUUUCUCUUCUGCAA